This 338-nucleotide unclassified non-coding RNA is filed under the name soil metagenome. Its description in RNAcentral is "partial contains 5.8S ribosomal RNA, internal transcribed spacer 2, and large subunit ribosomal RNA". The stretch from base 1 to 121 matches the Rfam family "5.8S ribosomal RNA", at positions 35 to 154 of the family's 154-position model. The record is from RNAcentral.
GAUGUAGAACGGCAGCGAAAUGCGAUAAGUAGUGUGAAUUGCAGAAUUCAGUGAAUCAUCGAAUCUUUGAACGCACAUUGCGCCCCUUGGUAUUCCAUGGGGCAUGCCUGUUCGAGCGUCAUUUGUACCUUCAAGCUCUGCUUGGUGUUGGGUGUUUGUCUCGCCUCUGCGUGUAGACUCGCCUCAAAACAAUUGGCAGCCGGCGUAUUGAUUUCGGAGCGCAGUACAUCUCGCGCUUUGCACUCAUAACGACGACGUCCAAAAGUACAUUUUUACACUCUUGACCUCGGAUCAGGUAGGGAUACCCGCUGAACUUAAGCAUAUCAAUAAGCGGAGGA